This 497-nucleotide ribosomal RNA is filed under the name uncultured bacterium. RNAcentral's name for it is "partial 16S ribosomal RNA". It matches the Rfam family "Bacterial small subunit ribosomal RNA", at positions 28 to 507 of the family's 1533-position model. The record is from RNAcentral.
GAUGAACGCUGGCGGCGUGCCUAAUACAUGCAAGUCGAGCGAACAGACGAGGAGCUUGCUCCUCUGACGUUAGCGGCGGACGGGUGAGUAACACGUGGAUAACCUACCUAUAAGACUGGGAUAACUUCGGGAAACCGGAGCUAAUACCGGAUAAUAUAUUGAACCGCAGGGUGCAAUAGUGAAAGACGGUUUUGCUGUCUCUUAUAGAUGGAUCCGCGCCGCAUUAGCUAGUUGGGACGUUAACGGCUUACCAAGGCAACUAUGCGUAGCCGACCUGAGAGGGUGAUCGGCCACCCUGGAACUGAGACACGGUCCAGACUCCUACGGGAGGCAGCAGUAGGGAAUCUUCCGCAAUGGGCGAAAGCCUGACGGAGCAACGCCGCGUGAGUGAUGAAGGUCUUCGGAUCGUAAAACUCUGUUAUUAGGGAAGAACAAAUGUGUAAGUAACUAUGCACGUCUUGACGGUACCUAAUCAGAAAGCCACGGCUAACUACGUG